GACGAACGCUGGCGGCGUGCCUAAUACAUGCAAGUCGAACGCUGAAGGAGGAGCUUGCUUCUCUGGAUGAGUUGCGAACGGGUGAGUAACGCGUAGGUAACCUGCCUGGUAGCGGGGGAUAACUAUUGGAAACGAUAGCUAAUACCGCAUAAUAGUAGAUGUUGCAUGACAUUUGCUUAAAAGGUGCAAUUGCAUCACUACCAGAUGGACCUGCGUUGUAUUAGCUAGUUGGUGGGGUAACGGCUCACCAAGGCGACGAUACAUAGCCGACCUGAGAGGGGGGUCAGCCGCCCUGGGAGUGAGACACGGCCCAGACGCCCACAGGAGGGAGCCAUAGUGAAACGUCAGCAAUCGGCGGGAAUCAGUGCGCGAUGCGCCGAGUGAGUGUGGAGCGUUGUCGGGUCGUGGAGCUCUGUUGUAAGGGAAGAACGAGUGUGAGAGUGGGAAGUUCACUCUGUGACGGUAUCUUACCAGGAAGGGACGGCUAACUACGUG
RNAcentral lists this ribosomal RNA (495 nucleotides) under uncultured bacterium. RNAcentral's name for it is "partial 16S ribosomal RNA". It matches the Rfam family "Bacterial small subunit ribosomal RNA", at positions 28 to 507 of the family's 1533-position model. The record is from RNAcentral.